Molecule: ribosomal RNA, 292 nt
Filed under: uncultured Acidobacteriota bacterium
Lineage: Bacteria; Pseudomonadati; Acidobacteriota
Description: uncultured Acidobacteria bacterium partial 16S ribosomal RNA
Source: RNAcentral
GGACUACUAGGGUUUCUAAUCCUGUUUGCUACCCACGCUUUCGUGUCUCAGCGUCAGUUACGGUCCAGUGAGCCGUCUACACCGCCGGUGUUCCUCCUGAUAUCUACGCAUUUCACCGCUACACCAGGAAUUCCACUCACCUCUCCCGCACUCUAGUCAUUCAGUAUUCGGCGCACCCUCCCAGUUAAGCCGGGAGAUUUCACACCAAACUUAAACAACCGCCUACACACCCUUUACGCCCAGUAACUCCGAACAACGCUCGCUGCCUACGUAUUACCGCGGCGGCUGGCAC